This 107-nucleotide small RNA is filed under the name Marmota monax (woodchuck). Lineage: Eukaryota; Metazoa; Chordata; Mammalia; Rodentia; Sciuridae. The record is from RNAcentral.
GUCAGGCACUUUGGCAUAUACCUGUAAUCCCAGCUACUUGGGAGGCUGAGGCAGGAGGAUGGCAAGUUCAAGGUAAGCCUAAGUAACUUAGCAAGAUCCUGUCUCAA